RNAcentral lists this ribosomal RNA (236 nucleotides) under uncultured Paracoccaceae bacterium. Its description in RNAcentral is "uncultured Rhodobacteraceae bacterium partial 16S ribosomal RNA". It matches the Rfam family "Bacterial small subunit ribosomal RNA", at positions 86 to 339 of the family's 1533-position model. Lineage: Bacteria; Pseudomonadati; Pseudomonadota; Alphaproteobacteria; Rhodobacterales; Paracoccaceae. The record is from RNAcentral.
UCGGGGUGAGCGGCGGACGGGUGAGUAACGCGUGGGAACGUGCCCUUCUCUGCGGAAUAGCCUCGGGAAACUGAGAGUAAUACCGCAUACGCCCUUUGGGGGAAAGAUUUAUCGGAGAAGGAUCGGCCCGCGUUGGAUUAGGUAGUUGGUGGGGUAAUGGCCCACCAAGCCGACGAUCCAUAGCUGGUUUGAGAGGAUGAUCAGCCACACUGGGACUGAGACACGGCCCAGACUCC